UUAAGCGACUAAGCGUACACGGUGGAUGCCCUGGCAGUCAGAGGCGAUGAAGGACGUGCUAAUCUGCGAAAAGCGUCGGUAAGGUGAUAUGAACCGUUAUAACCGGCGAUGUCCGAAUGGGGAAACCCAGUGUGAUUCGUCACACUAUCAUUAACUGAAUCCAUAGGUUAAUGAGGCGAACCGGGGGAACUGAAACAUCUAAGUACCCCGAGGAAAAGAAAUCAACCGAGAUUCCCCCAGUAGCGGCGAGCGAACGGGGAGCAGCCCAGAGCCUGAAUCAGUGUGUGUGUUAGUGGAAGCGUCUGGAAAGGCGCGCGAUACAGGGUGACAGCCCCGUACACAAAAAUGCACAUACUGUGAGCUCGAUGAGUAGGGCGGGACACGUGGUAUCCUGUCUGAAUAUGGGGGGACCAUCCUCCAAGGCUAAAUACUCCUGACUGACCGAUAGUGAACCAGUACCGUGAGGGAAAGGCGAAAAGAACCCCGGCGAGGGGAGUGAAAAAGAACCUGAAACCGUGUACGUACAAGCAGUGGGAGCCCUGAUUUAUCAGGGUGACUGCGUACCUUUUGUAUAAUGGGUCAGCGACUUAUAUUCUGUAGCAAGGUUAACCGAAUAGGGGAGCCGGAGGGAAACCGAGUCUUAACUGGGCGUUAAGUUGCAGGGUAUAGACCCGAAACCCGGUGAUCUAGCCAUGGGCAGGUUGAAGGUUGGGUAACACUAACUGGAGGACCGAACCGACUAAUGUUGAAAAAUUAGCGGAUGACUUGUGGCUGGGGGUGAAAGGCCAAUCAAACCGGGAGAUAGCUGGUUCUCCCCGAAAGCUAUUUAGGUAGCGCCUCGUGAAUUCAUCUCCGGGGGUAGAGCACUGUUUCGGCAAGGGGGUCAUCCCGACUUACCAACCCGAUGCAAACUGCGAAUACCGGAGAAUGUUAUCACGGGAGACACACGGCGGGUGCUAACGUCCGUCGUGAAGAGGGAAACAACCCAGACCGCCAGCUAAGGUCCCAAAGUCAUGGUUAAGUGGGAAACGAUGUGGGAAGGCCCAGACAGCCAGGAUGUUGGCUUAGAAGCAGCCAUCAUUUAAAGAAAGCGUAAUAGCUCACUGGUCGAGUCGGCCUGCGCGGAAGAUGUAACGGGGCUAAACCAUGCACCGAAGCUGCGGCAGCGACACUAUGUGUUGUUGGGUAGGGGAGCGUUCUGUAAGCCUGUGAAGGUGUGCUGUGAGGCAUGCUGGAGGUAUCAGAAGUGCGAAUGCUGACAUAAGUAACGAUAAAGCGGGUGAAAAGCCCGCUCGCCGGAAGACCAAGGGUUCCUGUCCAACGUUAAUCGGGGCAGGGUGAGUCGACCCCUAAGGCGAGGCCGAAAGGCGUAGUCGAUGGGAAACAGGUUAAUAUUCCUGUACUUGGUGUUACUGCGAAGGGGGGACGGAGAAGGCUAUGUUGGCCGGGCGACGGUUGUCCCGGUUUAAGCGUGUAGGCUGGUUUUCCAGGCAAAUCCGGAAAAUCAAGGCUGAGGCGUGAUGACGAGGCACUACGGUGCUGAAGCAACAAAUGCCCUGCUUCCAGGAAAAGCCUCUAAGCAUCAGGUAACAUCAAAUCGUACCCCAAACCGACACAGGUGGUCAGGUAGAGAAUACCAAGGCGCUUGAGAGAACUCGGGUGAAGGAACUAGGCAAAAUGGUGCCGUAACUUCGGGAGAAGGCACGCUGAUAUGUAGGUGAAGUCCCUCGCGGAUGGAGCUGAAAUCAGUCGAAGAUACCAGCUGGCUGCAACUGUUUAUUAAAAACACAGCACUGUGCAAACACGAAAGUGGACGUAUACGGUGUGACGCCUGCCCGGUGCCGGAAGGUUAAUUGAUGGGGUCAGCGCAAGCGAAGCUCUUGAUCGAAGCCCCGGUAAACGGCGGCCGUAACUAUAACGGUCCUAAGGUAGCGAAAUUCCUUGUCGGGUAAGUUCCGACCUGCACGAAUGGCGUAAUGAUGGCCAGGCUGUCUCCACCCGAGACUCAGUGAAAUUGAACUCGCUGUGAAGAUGCAGUGUACCCGCGGCAAGACGGAAAGACCCCGUGAACCUUUACUAUAGCUUGACACUGAACACUGGUCCUUGAUGUGUAGGAUAGGUGGGAGGCUUUGAAGUGUGGACGCCAGUCUGCAUGGAGCCGUCCUUGAAAUACCACCCUUUAAUGGCUGGUGUUCUAACGUUGGCCCCUUACCGGGGUUGCGGACAGUGUCUGGUGGGUAGUUUGACUGGGGCGGUCUCCUCCUAAAGAGUAACGGAGGAGCACGAAGGUUGGCUAAUCCUGGUCGGACAUCAGGAGGUUAGUGCAAUGGCAUAAGCCAGCUUGACUGCGAGCGUGACGGCGCGAGCAGGUGCGAAAGCAGGUCAUAGUGAUCCGGUGGUUCUGAAUGGAAGGGCCAUCGCUCAACGGAUAAAAGGUACUCCGGGGAUAACAGGCUGAUACCGCCCAAGAGUUCAUAUCGACGGCGGUGUUUGGCACCUCGAUGUCGGCUCAUCACAUCCUGGGGCUGAAGUAGGUCCCAAGGGUAUGGCUGUUCGCCAUUUAAAGUGGUACGCGAGCUGGGUUUAGAACGUCGUGAGACAGUUCGGUCCCUAUCUGCCGUGGGCGCUGGAGAACUGAGGGGGGCUGCUCCUAGUACGAGAGGACCGGAGUGGACGCAUCACUGGUGUUCGGGUUGUCAUGCCAAUGGCACUGCCCGGUAGCUAAAUGCGGAAGAGAUAAGUGCUGAAAGCAUCUAAGCACGAAACUUGCCCCGAGAUGAGUUCUCCCUGACUCCUUGAGAGUCCUGAAGGAACGUUGAAGACGACGACGUUGAUAGGCCGGGUGUGUAAGCGCAGCGAUGCGUUGAGCUAACCGGUACUAAUGAACCGUGAGGCUUAACCUU
This 2903-nucleotide ribosomal RNA is filed under the name Escherichia albertii. Its description in RNAcentral is "bacterial LSU rRNA". It matches the Rfam family "Bacterial large subunit ribosomal RNA". The record is from RNAcentral. Lineage: Bacteria; Pseudomonadati; Pseudomonadota; Gammaproteobacteria; Enterobacterales; Enterobacteriaceae.